CCUACAUGAAGCUGGAAUUGCUAGUAAUCACAGGUCAGCAUACUGUGGUGAAUACGUUCCCGGGCCUUGUACACACCGCCCGUCACACCAUGAGAGUUGAGAAUACCCGAAGCCCAUGUCAAAGUGGUCGAAGGUAGGCUUGAUGAUUGGGGUGAAGUCGUAACAAGGUAUC
This 172-nucleotide ribosomal RNA is filed under the name uncultured bacterium. RNAcentral's name for it is "partial 16S ribosomal RNA". It matches the Rfam family "Bacterial small subunit ribosomal RNA", at positions 1315 to 1500 of the family's 1533-position model. The record is from RNAcentral.